CGUGUUUAGGUCGGUUUGGAGAAAAUAGCCUGAAAGGGCGCAUCAGCACACUGACGCCGUGAUCCCUGCAGGACGGUCUUCCUAGCGCCCUCCCUGAAACUGUUUUGUCAGCUGCGUGUUUUUCAAACUGUAUUUGUCAAAAUCAGUUUAGUGGGAAGCAGACCACCCCCGCCCCACCCUACCCCACCAAAUGAAAACUGCUGCCCACAAGAACCAUAGGCCGUUGACGAGCUGAAACCAGAAAAUUGAUGAUACUUGAAACUUCAUCUUGAUGCCAACCGAUUUGAGAACUGUCCAUGGAUCAUGCCCCACCCCUUGAAGACUAUAAAAUUCCUCACUAGCCCCCUCCAGGGUGAAUCACACAGUCUUGAGGGCAUUAGCCCAGUGUGGCCCCUUUUGCCUGGCAAAGCAAUAAAAGCUACCCUUUUCUACUUCACCCAAAA
Molecule: long non-coding RNA, 443 nt
Organism: Bubalus bubalis (water buffalo)
Lineage: Eukaryota; Metazoa; Chordata; Mammalia; Artiodactyla; Bovidae
Exons: 2
Source: RefSeq, a predicted model, not a curated record